RNAcentral lists this ribosomal RNA (468 nucleotides) under uncultured bacterium. Its description in RNAcentral is "partial 16S ribosomal RNA". It matches the Rfam family "Bacterial small subunit ribosomal RNA", at positions 28 to 507 of the family's 1533-position model. The record is from RNAcentral.
GACGAACGCUGGCGGCGUGCUUAACACAUGCAAGUCGAACGGAAAGGCCCUGCUUUUGUGGGGUGCUCGAGUGGCGAACGGGUGAGUAACACGUGAGUAACCUGCCCUUGACUUUGGGAUAACUUCAGGAAACUGGGGCUAAUACCGGAUAGGAGCUCCUGCUGCAUGGUGGGGGUUGGAAAGUUUCGGCGGUUGGGGAUGGACUCGCGGCUUAUCAGCUUGUUGGUGGGGUAGUGGCUUACCAAGGCUUUGACGGGUAGCCGGCCUGAGAGGGUGACCGGCCACAAUGGGACUGAGGUACGGCCCAGACUCCUACGGGGGGCAGCAGGGGGGAAUAUUGGACAAUGGGCCGAAGCCUGAUGCAACAACGCCGCGGGCGGGAUGAAGGCCUUCGGGGUGGAAACCGCUUUCGCCUGUGACGAAGCGUGAGUGACGGUAAUGGGUAAAGAAGCACCGGCUAACUACGUG